UGGGGAAUCUUGCGCAAUGGGCGAAAGCCUGACGCAGCAACGCCGCGUGCGGGAAGAAGGCCUUCGGGUUGUAAACCGCUUUCAGAAGGAACGAAACUGACGGUACUUUCAGAAGAAGGUGCGGCCAACUACGUGCCAGCAGCCGCGGUGACACGUAGGCACCAAGCGUUGUCCGGAUUUAUUGGGCGUAAAGAGCUCGUAGGCGGUUCGGUAAGUCGGGUGUGAAAACUUUGGGCUCAACCCAAAGCGUGCAUUCGAUACUGCCGUGACUAGAGUUCGGUAGGGGAGUGGGGAAUUCCUAGUGUAGCGGUGAAAUGCGCAGAUAUUAGGAGGAACACCGGUGGCGAAGGCGCCACUCUGGGCCGAAACUGACGCUGAGGAGCGAAAGCGUGGGUAGCAAACAGG
RNAcentral lists this ribosomal RNA (405 nucleotides) under uncultured bacterium. Its description in RNAcentral is "bacterial SSU rRNA". It matches the Rfam family "Bacterial small subunit ribosomal RNA", at positions 355 to 776 of the family's 1533-position model. The record is from RNAcentral.